GUUGAUAUGUGGAAAAUUCUAUCACUGGGUGCAUGAUGAUUGUGGUAGAGAGAUCAUCUCAUCACGCCGCCAUCACAUGUAACAUCUCUUCUAUUUCUCUCUAAUACAGUCAUCACACUCUCAGUUGAUAUGUGUAACAUUAUAUCAC
This 148-nucleotide microRNA precursor is filed under the name Bombyx mori (domestic silkworm). Lineage: Eukaryota; Metazoa; Arthropoda; Insecta; Lepidoptera; Bombycidae. The record is from RNAcentral.